UUCAAGUAAUCCAGGAUAGGCUGUGUCCGUUUAAGGUGGCCUAUUCUCGAUGACUUGUCUC
This 61-nucleotide microRNA precursor is filed under the name Scyliorhinus torazame (cloudy catshark). RNAcentral describes it as "Sto-Mir-26-P4_pre stem-loop". The record is from RNAcentral. Lineage: Eukaryota; Metazoa; Chordata; Chondrichthyes; Carcharhiniformes; Scyliorhinidae.